CCCAAAGAGCCGAGAUUGCAGCCUCUGCCCGGCCGCCACCCCGUCUGGGAAGUGAGGAGCGUCUCUGCUUGGCCACCCAUCGUCUGGGAUAUGAGGAGCCCCUCUGCCUGGCUGCCCAGUGUGGAAAGUGAGGAGCGUCUCUGCCCGGCCGCCAUCCCAUCUAGGAAGCGAGAAGCGCCUCUUCCCCGCCGCCAUCCCAUCUAGGAAGUGAGGAGCGUCUCUGCCCGGCCGCCCAUCGUCUGAGAUGUGGGGAGCACCUCUGCCCCACCGCCCUGUCUGGGAUGUGAGGAGCGCCUCUGCUGGGCCGCAACCCUGUCUGGGAGGUGAGGAGUGUCUCUGCCCGGCCGCUCCGUCUGAGAAGUGAGGAAACCCUCUGCCUGGCAACCGCCCCGUCUGAGAAGUGAGGAGCCCCUCCGUCUGGCAACCACCCCGUCUGGGAAGUGAGGAGCGUCUCCGCCCGGCAGCCACCCCGUCCGGGAGGGAGGUGGGGGGGGUCAGCCCCCCGCCCGGCCAGCCGCCCCGUCCGGGAGGUGAGGGGCGCCUCUGCCCGGCCGCCCCUACUGGGAAGUGAGGAGCCCCUCUGCCCGGCCAGCCGCCCCGCCCAGGAGGGAGGUGGGGGGGUCAGCCCCCCGCCCGGCCAGCCGCCCCGUCCGGGAGGGGGGA
This 663-nucleotide long non-coding RNA is filed under the name Homo sapiens (human). Its description in RNAcentral is "HSALNT0290334". The record is from RNAcentral. Lineage: Eukaryota; Metazoa; Chordata; Mammalia; Primates; Hominidae.